This 481-nucleotide ribosomal RNA is filed under the name uncultured bacterium. RNAcentral's name for it is "partial 16S ribosomal RNA". It matches the Rfam family "Bacterial small subunit ribosomal RNA", at positions 28 to 507 of the family's 1533-position model. The record is from RNAcentral.
GAUGAACGCUGGCGGCGUGCCUAACACAUGCAAGUCGAGCGAAGCGCUUAAAUUAGAUUUCUUCGGAAUGACGCUUUUUGUGACUGAGCGGCGGACGGGGGAGUAACGCGUGGGUAACCUGCCUCAUACAGGGGGAUAACAGUUAGGAAUGACUGCUAAUACCACAUAAGACCCCAGCUUCGCAUGAAGCGGUGUUAAAAACUCCGGUGGUAUGAGAUGGACCCGCGUCUGAUUAGCUAGUUGGUAAGGUAACGGCUUACCAAGGCGACGAUCAGUAGCCGAGCUGAGAGGGUGACCAGCCACAUUGGGACUGAGACACGGCCCAGACUCCUACGGGAGGCAGCAGUGGGGAAUAUUGCACAAUGGGGGCAAGCCUGAUGCAGCGACGCCGCGUGAAGGAUGAAGUAUUUCGGUAUGUAAACUUCUAUCAGCAGGGAAGAAAGUGACGGUACCUGACUAAGAAGCCCCGGCUAACUACGUG